GCGGAUAUGGCGCAAUGGAUAGCGCGCUGCCCUCCUAAGGCAGAGGCUGAGGGUUCGAGUCCCUCUUUCCGUU
Molecule: transfer RNA, 73 nt
Organism: Gregarina niphandrodes
Lineage: Eukaryota; Apicomplexa; Conoidasida; Eugregarinorida; Gregarinidae
Rfam family: tRNA
About the family: Transfer RNA (tRNA) molecules are approximately 80 nucleotides in length.
Source: Rfam